CAUAUGCGCUCUAUCGCUGACACGUUUCGUGUUUGAGGAAAGUCCGAGCAACAUAGAGCACCACGCAAGUUAAUGGCUUGAUGUCCGUGAGGGUAUAGUAACGCAGAAGAAAAUAACCGCCCGUAAGGGUAAGGGUGAGAAGGUGGGGUAAGAGCCCACCGCGAGGGUAGCAAUACGCCUCGGCUGUGCGUCUCGUGGGUUGCAAGACCGUGUAUACCGACAAUUAAGGGUUGCUCGUCCAAUGUCGGGGGGUAGGUUGCUGGAGGCGGCAAGUGAUUGUCGUCGUAGAUAAAUGAUAGAGGCCCGCAAGGGUACAGAACUCGGCUUAUAGCGUAUGAAAA
RNAcentral lists this RNase P RNA (341 nucleotides) under Alistipes sp. Its description in RNAcentral is "RNase P RNA component class A". It matches the Rfam family "Bacterial RNase P class A". From Rfam's summary of the family: Ribonuclease P (RNase P) is a ubiquitous endoribonuclease, found in archaea, bacteria and eukarya as well as chloroplasts and mitochondria. Its best characterised activity is the generation of mature 5'-ends of tRNAs by cleaving the 5'-leader elements of precursor-tRNAs. Cellular RNase Ps are ribonucleoproteins. Lineage: Bacteria; Pseudomonadati; Bacteroidota; Bacteroidia; Bacteroidales; Rikenellaceae. The record is from RNAcentral.